CGCAUCUGUGCAUGCAGCAUAUCAAUAAGCGGAGGAAAAGAAACUAACAAAGGAUUCCCUCAGUAACAGGCGAGUGAAGCGGGAAGAGCUCAAAUUUGAAAUCUUGAAAGGUCACCUUUCACGAAUUGUAGUUUAAAGAAGUGUUUUCUGUUGACGAUCUGGUAAUAUAAGUUCUUUGGAAUAGGACAUCACAGAGGGUGAGAAUCCCGUCUAUGAUUGCGAUUUGUAGCUUUGUGAUACACUUUCAAAGAGUCGGGUUGUUUGGGAAUGCAGCCCAAAACGGGAGGUAAAUUUCUUCUAAGGCUAAAUAUUGGCGAGAGACCGAUAGCGAACAAGUACCGUGAGGGAAAGAUGAAAAGAACUUUGAAAAGAGAGUUAAAUAGUACGUGAAAUUGUCAAAAGGGAAGCGUUUAACACCAGUGUUGUUUUCUGAAAAUCAACCUCUGUUAGCUUUAUGCAUGUUUGUUUAGACCUAAUCAGCUAUCUUGCAUGUUCUAUUGUUUGCAGUGGUGCACUUUUCAGUUUACAGGUCAACAUCAGUUUUUUUUACCGUAAAAAAGUUAAAGAAAGGUAGCUCAUGGCUCCGGUCGUGAGUGUUAUAGUCUUUUUCCUAUGCGGUAGGAGAGACUGAGGUCUGCAGUGUAGGCUAUUUGGCUAGAUACUCAGGUGCUAUGUGAUACCAUUUCAUAAACAACUUGUUGAUUAUGUUUUGUCUAUUGCAUACUCGCUUGUACUAUCAUACCUACGCUUAGGAUGUUGAAGUCAUCGUAUCGCGC
This 776-nucleotide ribosomal RNA is filed under the name uncultured Neocallimastigales. RNAcentral's name for it is "partial large subunit ribosomal RNA". It matches the Rfam family "Eukaryotic large subunit ribosomal RNA", at positions 26 to 645 of the family's 3401-position model. The record is from RNAcentral. Lineage: Eukaryota; Fungi; Neocallimastigomycota; Neocallimastigomycetes; Neocallimastigales.